GACGAACGCUGGCGGCGUGCUUAACACAUGCAAGUCGAACGGAAAGGCCCUGCUUUUGUGGGGUGCUCGAGUGGCGAACGGGUGAGUAACACGUGAGUAACCUGCCCUUGACUUUGGGAUAGCUUCAGGAAACUGGGGCUAAUACCGGCUAGGAGCUCCUGCUGCAUGGUGGGAGUUGGAAAGUUUCGGCUGUUGGGGAUGGACUCGGGGCUUAUCAGCUUGUAGGUCGGUGAGUGGCUUACCAAGGCUUUGACUGGUCGCCCCCCUGGGAGGGUGAACGGCUGCAUGGGGACUGAGAAGCGGCUCAGACUCCUACUGGAGGGAGCAGUUGAGAAUAUUUUACAAUGCGCGGAUGCCUGACGUAGCAAUGUCGCGUGCGGGAUGACGACCUUCGAGUUAUAAACCGCUUUCGCCGUUGACAAGGCGUGAGUGACGGUAACGGGUAAAGAAGCACCGGCUAACUACGUG
RNAcentral lists this ribosomal RNA (468 nucleotides) under uncultured bacterium. RNAcentral describes it as "partial 16S ribosomal RNA". It matches the Rfam family "Bacterial small subunit ribosomal RNA", at positions 28 to 507 of the family's 1533-position model. The record is from RNAcentral.